GCCGGCAGCUAGCUCUCUGCAACUCUCACAUGGUCACCCACUGAAACUAAGCAGGGCUGUGCCGAUCAGUACUUGAAUGGGAGACCACAUGGGAAAGCUAGGUUGCUGCUGGAA
Molecule: ribosomal RNA, 114 nt
Filed under: Danio rerio (zebrafish)
Lineage: Eukaryota; Metazoa; Chordata; Actinopteri; Cypriniformes; Danionidae
Source: RNAcentral